Molecule: long non-coding RNA, 674 nt
Filed under: Vigna radiata
Lineage: Eukaryota; Viridiplantae; Streptophyta; Magnoliopsida; Fabales; Fabaceae
Description: long non-coding RNA (VRAD_LNC001162)
Source: RNAcentral
UGAAACUGCAUGGUGUAAAUUGGAUUUGAUGUCAACAUUGCAUUCGCUCAGUUCAUUUUUAUGAAAAUAUGAUUAGCCUUCGUUUAGUUGGUUAACCAUGUUGGAUUAGAGGUUCGAGUUGUUGCUUUAUUUUGUUGAUCUGUGAUUGGAAGCAUUGUGAUUAAGUUAAUGACCAACCGUUUCCAUUCUGUCUUUGAAACCAUUUUUACAUCUGUGUUUGCAUUUUUGUUUCAUCCGUGUUUUAAUUUUAUUCAUCUACAUUCACAAAACUUUUCACAACCCCCCCACUUCGUGUUUGACCUAAUUCUCGAACCACAUUUGGUCCUUGAGAGACGACCUAGGAGUCACUUCCUAGCACUAUAUUGCAUUCUUUUAUGCACAUUAAAUUUUGCAUGGGGUGCGACACCCAUCAAAAUUUUGGCGCCGUUGCCAGGGACCAACGGUUCAGUCUUAGGUCUUUUGUUGUGUUAGUGUGUUUUGUUUUGUCUUGUGUUGUAAGUGUUUUGUUAUGUUUUGUGUGUGGUGUCAUGUGUGUUGCAUUUAGAUAACUUUAGUUGCAUAUUUUCAUUUCAUUCUUCUCCCCCCCUUCUUUUCUGCAUGUCUACCUAUUUUGAUUAUGUGAAUAGUGCUUAUUCUGUCAAUGCCUAUGAUUAUGAUUCUCCUUCUGNAUGUUA